UUACGGCCAUAUCACAUUUAAGCACCGGUUCCUGUACGUUCACCGAAGUUAAGCAAUGUCGAGUCCAGUCAGUACCUUGAUGAGUGACCACUUGUGAAUACUAGGUGCUGUAAG
Non-coding RNA from Acanthosepion pharaonis, 114 nucleotides. NCBI's taxonomy places the organism in Eukaryota, Metazoa, Mollusca, Cephalopoda, Sepiida, Sepiidae. The record is from the annotation of a GenBank genome assembly.